CCUACGGGAGGCAGCAGUAGGGAAUCUUUCACAAUGGGCGAAAGCCUGAUGGAGCAACGCCGCGUGCAGGAUGAAGGCCUUCGGGUUGUAAACUGCUUUUAUAAGCGAGAAAUAUGAUGGUAACUUAUGAAUAAGGAUCGGCUAACUACGUGCCAGCAGCCGCGGUCAUACGUAGGAUCCGAGCAUUAUCCGGAGUGACUGGGUGUAAAGGGUGCGCAGGCGGCUCUGCAAGUCAGGCGUGAAAGCUAGGGGCUCAACCCCUAAAUUGCGCUUGAAACUGUGGAGCUUGAGUGAAGUAGAGGCAGGCGGAAUUCCCGGUGUAGCGGUGAAAUGCGUAGAGAUCGGGAGGAACACCAGUGGCGAAGGCGGCCUGCUGGGCUUUAACUGACGCUCAGGCACGAAAGCAUGGGUAGCAAACAGGAUUAGAUACCCGAGUAGUC
This 440-nucleotide ribosomal RNA is filed under the name uncultured bacterium. Its description in RNAcentral is "partial 16S ribosomal RNA". It matches the Rfam family "Bacterial small subunit ribosomal RNA", at positions 338 to 795 of the family's 1533-position model. The record is from RNAcentral.